Molecule: unclassified non-coding RNA, 306 nt
Filed under: Hevea brasiliensis (rubber tree)
Lineage: Eukaryota; Viridiplantae; Streptophyta; Magnoliopsida; Malpighiales; Euphorbiaceae
Source: RNAcentral
AACUCAUUGCGCGCCGAUUUCUGAAGCCGAAGCAUGAAGAGUUCGCCUUUAAGAUCAACCAACUCCUCAUUAAUUUGCUCGGUGGACAUAACCCUGAUUUCCUUCAUUUCUUCUUCUCUCUUCGCCAUCAUUACAACGGAGGGGAGCGAGUUUCCAGAAAAAGACCGUGUCAUUUUGGCAGGUACCGAAAUUGGGAGGGGACAUGUGUGGCGGAUUUGGAUGCCGGAGAAGCUAGAUCUGGGGGAUGUAGAUAAGGGUUUGGGAAGGACAAUUGCAGUGGAAAGAUUGAACAUGGCUGGUUUUCUG